RNAcentral lists this ribosomal RNA (449 nucleotides) under uncultured bacterium. RNAcentral's name for it is "partial 16S ribosomal RNA". It matches the Rfam family "Bacterial small subunit ribosomal RNA", at positions 29 to 523 of the family's 1533-position model. The record is from RNAcentral.
AACGAACGCUGGCGGCAGGCCUAACACAUGCAAGUCGAACGCUCUAGCAAUAGAGAGUGGCAGACGGGUGAGUAACGCGUGGGAACCUUCCCAAUGGUGCAGAAUAGCCCAGGGAAACUUGGGGUAAUACUGCAUAAGCCCUUCGGGGGAAAGAUUUAUCGCCAUAGGAUGGGCCCGCGUCGGAUUAGCUAGUUGGUGAGGUAAUGGCUCACCAAGGCAACGAUCCGUAGCUGGUUUGAGAGAAUGACCAGCCAAACUGGGACUGAGACACGGCCCAGACUCCUACGGGAGGCAGCAGUGGGGAAUCUUGGGCAAUGGGCGCAAGCCUGAUCCAGCCAUGCCGCGUGAGUGACGAAGGCCUUAGGGUUGUAAAGCUCUUUUGCCGGGGACGAUAAUGACGGUACCCGGAGAAUAAGUCCCGGCUAACUUCGUGCCAGCAGCCGCAGUAA